This 253-nucleotide ribosomal RNA is filed under the name uncultured bacterium. RNAcentral describes it as "partial 16S ribosomal RNA". It matches the Rfam family "Bacterial small subunit ribosomal RNA", at positions 524 to 776 of the family's 1533-position model. The record is from RNAcentral.
UACGUAGGGGGCAAGCGUUGUCCGGAUUUAUUGGGCGUAAAGCGCGUGUAGGCGGCCAGGUAGGUCCGUUGUGAAAACUCGAGGCUCAACCUCGAGACGCCGGUGGAAACCGUAAGGCUAGAGUCCGGAAGAGGAGAGUGGAAUUCCUGGUGUAGCGGUGAAAUGCGCAGAUAUCAGGAAGAACACCCGUGGCGAAAGCGGCUCUCUGGGACGGUACUGACGCUGAGACGCGAAAGCGUGGGGAGCGAACAGG